CAAGCUUAGAGUAUGUCUGAGGGGGGGUGGAAUUCCGCCGUGUAGCAGUGAAAUGCGUAGAUAUGCGGAGGAACACCCAUGGCGAAGGCAGCCCCCUGGGAUAAUACUGACGCUCAGGCACGAAAGCGGGGGUAGCAAACAGGAUUAGAUACCCUGGUAGUCCACGCCCCUAAACGAUGUCAACUAGCUGUUGGGCCGGUUACGGCUUAGUAGCGCAGCUAACGCGUGAAGUUGACCGCCUGGGGACUACGGUCGCAAGACUAAAACUCAAAGGAAUUGACGGGGACCCGCACAAGCGGUGGAUGAUGUGGAUUAAUUCGAUGCAACGCGAAAAACCUUACCUACCCUUGACAUGCCCGGAAGCUUCAAGAGAUUGAAGUGUGCUCGCAAGAGAACCGGAGCACAGGUGCUGCAUGGCUGUCGUCAGCUCGUGUCGUGAGAUGUUGGGUUAAGUCCCGCAACGAGCGCAACCCUUGUCAUUAGUUGCUACGCAAGAGCACUCUAAUGAGACUGCCGGUGACAAACCGGAGGAAGGUGGGGAUGACGUCAAGUCCUCAUGGCCCUUAUGGGUAGGGCUUCACACGUCAUACAAUGGUCAGGACAGCGGGUUGCCAAACCGCGAGGUGGAGCUAAUCUCAAAAACCUGAUCGUAGUCCGGAUUGCGGGCUGCAACUCGCCUGCAUGAAGUCGGAAUCGCUGGUAAUCGCAGAUCAGAAUGCUGCGGUGAAUACGUUCCCGGGUCUUGUACACACCGCCCGUCA
This 761-nucleotide ribosomal RNA is filed under the name uncultured bacterium. Its description in RNAcentral is "bacterial SSU rRNA". It matches the Rfam family "Bacterial small subunit ribosomal RNA", at positions 636 to 1399 of the family's 1533-position model. The record is from RNAcentral.